GAAAAACAUUGCACUGAGUUGCCCAUGAAGCACAGAAGAAGACAGGGCAUCUUCAUUAACAUUGAGAUUUUGCUGAAAGAAGAAGUUAAUGGAAAUCAUCUGUAUGCCCUGCAGAACUGGAGAGCCCCUUUGUCAGUGAAUGGAGUUGCAGAAAGAAUUACAGUGAGAUGUCCAGUUGGAUUAUGACACUAUGUCAUCAUUGGGAUCUUGGAUCUUAGACCAGGAGAUGAGAUGAGCAGCCCUGAGUUGGGAACCAUAGAAGCAGACAAAUCUAGGGAGGAGUCUUGGACUAAAUUUUAUGUUGUUCCUUUGUCUAUUAAUCAUGUCAACUCCAGGAAGUGGGGAGUUUUGACCUAUAAAGCAUGUGUUGAGUGUGUUUUGAAGCCAGUGGGAAAUGUUACCUGCUCACAUGCCUGAUUUAGUCAUCAAUGCACAUAAUCUACUGAGAACCAUUGCGCCAGACAGAAUAACAAUGGGAUGAUGGCAUCAUAUCAGGCAUCAUAGAGCGAAGUUUCCAGAUCUGGCUCAAUUGUGUGAAUCCACAAAUCUCUGAGGCAGCCCCAUGGGUGACACCAGGUAGAGUCAAGGUAUGCACCCCUGUGCACAUCAAUGGAAAGUUUAAGAGCAAGAUAUGGAGGGGUGUUUUUGUCCAUCAUGGUGACAUGACUGAAGAGCAUGCAAUGCUGCUUUUGAAUGUAGUGAGUGAUUGGAGGAUGACGAGAUCUCUGUGAGAUUAUGGCAUUUUGCACAAAGUUGUCUCAGAGCACAGUUGUUUUUCUGGCCAUAAGCGAGACAUGGACUCAUGCAGAAGGCAGCAAGAUCUAGUCAUCAGAGGAUAUGUGGUUUGCUGCAAACAUAUGGACGCUGCUUGCAGCUUACGUAGAUGAACUUGUUAAUGCUUUCCAUGAUGCUUGAUCCCAACUACAUCAGGGGUUCUGCCAGUCAUUGCUGAGGUUCUGGAUCCUACUCUUCUGGCAUAAGAUGUUCAACCCCAUAGUUUGGACAAUAUCUUGCAAACCUUGAAGAGCAGGCCUGAAAUUCUCUGGCUUCUCCACAGGCAAAAAGCAAUGUCAAUCAGCAUAGUCUUGGUUGGUGAACACUUCCUGAUCAACCUCCAAUAGACCUAAUGAAUUAGUAAUAUUAUGUAAAAACAAUUGAUUCUGCUGUCCAAAAUUACGCUCAUAAUACUGCCAAGGUCAGUGUCUGUGUGGCCAGUCUGCUAUAUAUAUAAUAGUCAUUUCUUUUUGGCAUUGCAAAUGCUCAAGAUGUGCCAGUGAAAUGUUCCUUUGCAUGGUGAAUAUGUUGUGUUGGUAAAUACCAUUUCUAUAGGAGAGUUGCAUGGCAGGAUUUUUCUUUUUACUGUAGACAACAUUAAAAUUGAAUUUAAACAAGGCAUGAAGUCCUGGACUAUAAAAAGGGAUGUUUCUGUAUGUUACUGUACCUAUCAGAUAAGGGAGUUAAAAUCAACAUUUUAAAAGGAAAUUAUCAGAGCCAGAGAAAAUUAAGUCAAGGAUGUUGAUUUGAGAAUGUGGGGCUAGCUGGUGUUUUUGUAAAGAGUCCCUGGAUUUACAUUUUUUGCCUUCAUUUCAUCAAUUAGAACAGCAUAGGCGGACAGAUAUAUGGAUGAAAUACUUCAUAUGGUUGUCUUAUGUGUUAUGCAAUUCUAUAUUUAGCCAAAAAAAAGAGGCUAUUAAUGGAUUCAAUUUGGUUUCUGUUUCUUGGGCCAAGUAUCUGAGACAUGAUUUAAAAUAAAAACCUUCUUAAAGAAGCAAAAGAAAGUGGCUGGAAGUUGAUCUAAGACACAUUCGGACUGGAAAUAGGCAUAAUUUUUUAAGUGAGGGUACUUUACCAAGGGUUGCAGUGGAUUAUCCAUCAUUGACAAUUAUUAAAUCAAUAUUGGAUAUUUUUGUUACUAGAUCUGCUCUAGCAAUUAUUCUGGGGAAGUUCUAUGGUCUAUGUUGUACAGGGAGGUCAGACUAGAUGAUCACAGUGGUCCCUUCUGGCCUUUGAAUCUAUGAAAAAACAAUUUAAUUCAUGAAACAAAACAAAUGAAAACAACAAUUAUUGCCAAAUUCAAUUUUAUAAACUUUCUUUCAAUAAAAAAAUUGGACCACACGGACACAAAAGAAAAAAUAGGCACUGAACAAUGUUCUUGUUUACUUCCAAGAAAAAUGUUAUUUCAUUUUCUAAACAGAAGGGGGCAAAAUUAGGAAUGUAUAAAUUUAGUCUUGCUGAAAACAGUGCUGAACAAAAUUUUAGGGCCAAAUUACAUCUACUGUGUAUGUGCGUGCUAGUGUGGACUGAGGGAAGAAAAUGAGAAGGUAUCUAUCGUUAUUCCCUCAACCCCUUUCUACCAGCAGAAGAAGCAGCCAUAUUGUUGCUCCUUGUGCUCUUUCAGUAUAUAGAGAAGAAUGACUAGUUCUGCUGGAUGCAUUUAAUGCCCCAAGAUGGUAAGGAAUGUAUCCAGGGUCCUUCCAGCCACCUAUGCAUAUGAUCGUGUCCUCAGGUCAGCAUGGGGGGAGCACUCACAUUGCACCAUUUCAAAGUUGCUGCAAGUGCUGCUCCAGGCACACAAGCAUUAUUUUCCUGACUCUACCCCAUUGAUGCAUAAUACAUCCAGUCUCUUGGGCACUACACUGUUAUCCCUUGCACCCCAUGUGCUUGUACUACACAAGUGUCAAGGUUCCUUCCCUAAUCUGAACUCUAGGG
Long non-coding RNA from Dermochelys coriacea (leatherback sea turtle), 2709 nucleotides. RefSeq lists it as uncharacterized. The transcript is spliced from 3 exons. NCBI's taxonomy places the organism in Eukaryota, Metazoa, Chordata, Testudines, Dermochelyidae. The record is from RefSeq and is a predicted model, not a curated record.